This 305-nucleotide ribosomal RNA is filed under the name uncultured bacterium. Its description in RNAcentral is "bacterial SSU rRNA". It matches the Rfam family "Bacterial small subunit ribosomal RNA", at positions 338 to 659 of the family's 1533-position model. The record is from RNAcentral.
CCUACGGGAGGCAGCAGUGGGGAAUAUUGGGCAAUGGGCGCAAGCCUUACCCAGCAAUACCGCGUGAGUGAAGAAGGUCUUCGGAUUGUAAAGCUCUUUGAUCAGGGACGAACAGAUGACGGUACCUGAAGAACAAGCCCCGGCUAACUACGUGCCAGCAGCCGCGGUAAAACGUAGGGGGCGAGCGUUAUCCGGAUUUAUUGGGUUUAAAGGGUGCGUAGGCGGAUUUUUAAGUCAGCGGUAAAAUGUCCGGGCUCAACCCGGGCCGGCCGUUGAAACUGGGGAUCUUGAGUGGGCGAGAAGUA